UAUUUGUGUUAGUUUUUAUAUUAUUUUAGUUCUAAAUUUGAAGAUUGUGAUCUUGAAAUAUUAAAAUAUUAAUUAAAUUAUUUGAUAUUAUUUUUUCGUCGCUCAAAAUAGACGUCACACUGCGGAAGCGGGUAUACCCGCUGAAACGCCGUCUAUUUUGAGCGACUUUCAAGCCCGGCAAAGCCAAUGGAGAAACAUGCUGCGUGGGAGGUAUCACUGGCAGUGGAGGUCUAUUCCUGAUCCAGAGAAGGCCAUGCCAGGAAAUGAGUGAUAACGAAACACAGUGGCCCAAAACAGCAGGACAUCCAGACCUGCUGUGUUCCACAAAGGGAUGAUGGGAAUUUGACCCGGUGAACAGUCUGCUUUUGCCAGAUCGUCGCCACCCAUGCCUCGUUCCUGUACUCCCGUAGUCUUGAUCGUGAACCCUGGAUUACCGACAUCCCCCUGUCCUUCGACCAACCCUUUACCGCUGCUAUACUUGACUGUCUGCCUGAUCCCCGACCUUGGAACAAAUAAACACUUCCCAAACUGCCUCUGCAUCUCCGGAGUCCUGCAUUUGGGUCCUCCUCCGUACCGAUGGGUCGUGACACCUGUUGCCUCUGUUAAGUGUUAUGGAUUAAGUUUUACAGUCUGUACAUUUGUAGUCUAGUACUAGAAUCACCGUUAUUUUCAAAUCAAUAGCCAUUGGGACAACUUCUAAUCUUUCUCCAGAUUUUCAGUUAUUUGGGAGAAUGCCAGUCAAGUCACCUCGAAUUGAGUUAAUUUUAUUUAAUCAAUCCCUUUCAGAAGCAAGUAUCGUAUUUUCUUCAUUCCAUAUUACUCAUCUGAAAAAAGUAUCUAACCACUCUUAAUUCUCCUCUACCCCCCUUAUUAACUCUGGCACGUAUUAUGCAUGAAGCUCUCUGCUCUGAACCAGCAUUUGUAAUAAUGGUAUACAUCAGGGCUCAAUGCUAGUUUCACCAUCAUUGUAAAUGAAAUAAUGACAAUUUGAGAACGGCACUCAUAUUUUCCCUCUA
Molecule: long non-coding RNA, 1016 nt
Organism: Syngnathoides biaculeatus (alligator pipefish)
Lineage: Eukaryota; Metazoa; Chordata; Actinopteri; Syngnathiformes; Syngnathidae
Exons: 4
Source: RefSeq, a predicted model, not a curated record